UGAGCGUUCGGUGGAUGCCUUGGCAUCAGGGGCCGAUGAAGGACGUGGUGGCCUGCGAUAAGCCUCGGGGAGCCGGCUGACGGGCUGUGAUCCGAGGGUGUCCGAAUGGGGGGACCCGGCACGAGUUAUGUCGUGUCACUCGUACCUGAAUUCAUAGGGUGCGGGGGGUGACGCGGGGAAGUGAAACAUCUCAGUACCCGUAGGAGAAGAUAUUCCGUGAGUAGUGGCGAGCGAAAGCGGAUGAUGGUUAAACCGUGUGCGUGUGAUACCCGGCAGGGGUUGCGUGUGCGGUGUUGUGGGGCGUGUUCUUCCAUCCUCUGCCGGGGGUGGGCGCAGUGAGAAACUGGUGUGGUAGCUGAACCUCCUGGGAAGGGGGGCCGUAGUGGGUGAUAGCCCCGUAGGUGAAACCAUGCUGGCUGCGUGGGUGCGUUCCCGAGUAGCACGGGGCUCGUGGAAUCCUGUGUGAAUCUGCCAAGACCACUUGGCUGCCUGAAUACCUCCUGAUGACCGAUAGCGGAUAGUACCGUGAGGGAAUGGUGAAAAGUACCCCGGGAGGGGAGUGAAAUAGUACCUGAAACCGGGCGCUUACAAGCCGUCAGAGCCUUUCCUUUGUGGGGGUGAUGGCGUGCCUAUUGAAGAAUGAGCCUGCGAGUUAGCGCCGUGUCGCGAGGUUAACCCUUGGGGGGUAGCCGUAGCGAGAGCGAGUCUGAAAGGGCGAGUUAAGUGGCACGGUCUAGACCCGAAGCGGGGUGAUCUACCCAUGGCCAGGUUGAAGCACGUGUAAGAGCGUGUGGAGGACCGAACCCACCUAGGUUGAAAACUGGGGGGAUGAGCUGUGGGUAGGGGUGAAAGGCCAAUCAAACUCCGUGAUAGCUGGUUCUCCCCGAAAUGCAUUUAGGUGCAGCGUCUCGUGGUCCCCGGCGGAGGUAGAGCUACUGGGUGGCUGAUGGGCCCCACAGGGUUACUGACGUCAACCAAACUCCGAAUGCCGUUCGGGUUAUAGCGGGGCAGUGAGACAGCGGGGGAUAAGCUCCGUUGUCGAGAGGGAAACAGCCCAGAUCGCCGGCUAAGGCCCCUAAGCGUGUGCUAAGUGGGAAAGGAUGUGCGGUCGCGCAGACAACCAGGAGGUUGGCUUAGAAGCAGCCAUCCUUGAAAGAGUGCGUAAUAGCUCACUGGUCAAGUGAUCGUGCGCCGACAAUGUAGCGGGGCUCAAGCACACCGCCGAAGCCGCGGACCCAUCACGUGUUCCCUACCGGGUUUGUCCUGGUCAGGGGUGGUGGGUGGUAGGGGAGCGUCCUGCACCGGGUGAAGCCGCAGAGUGAUCUAGUGGUGGACGGUGCGGGAGUGAGAAUGCAGGCAUGAGUAGCGAUACUAGGGUGAGAAGCCCUAGCGCCGAAUGACCAAGGGUUCCAGGGCCAGGCUAGUCCGCCCUGGGUGAGUCGGGACCUAAGGCGAGGCCGACAGGCGUAGUCGAUGGAUGACGGGUUGAUAUUCCCGUACCGGCGAAGCACCGCCCAUGCUGACGCGCGGGUGCUAACCCACGCCCGGCACCACAAUCGCGCCUUCUGGUGGCUUCGGCUGCCUGUUGGUGUGGUGGUGUGGGGUCUGGGGACCCUCCGUGCAGGUAGGCAAGCGUGUUAACAGGGGUGACGCACAGUGGUAGCCUCCGCGGGCCUAAUGGCUUGGCCCGUUCAAGCGAGCAGCCCGACAGCCAGGCAAAUCCGGUUGUCUUCCUUUGAUGGUGAGGGUCAGACGUGAUGGUGACCUGCCCUUCUCGGGUGGGGAAGUAGGGUGAUCCUGGGGUGCCGAGAAAAGCCUCGACGCGAUGGUGCCAGCCGCCCGUACCCUAAACCGACACAGGUGGUCGGGCAGAGUAUGCCUAGGCGCACGAGUGAAUCAUGGUGAAGGAACUCGGCAAAAUGCCCCCGUAACUUCGGGAGAAGGGGGGCCCGAGCCUUGAAGCCCCUUUUUGCGGGCUAGGGGUGAGGGUCGCAGAGACCAGGGAGAAGCGACUGUUUACUAAAAACACAGGUCCGUGCGAAGCCGCAAGGCGAUGUAUACGGACUGACGCCUGCCCGGUGCUGGAAGGUUAAGAGGAACCGUCAACCCCCGUCGUGGGGUGAAGCGGUGAAUUUAAGCCCCAGUAAACGGCGGUGGUAACUAUAACCAUCCUAAGGUAGCGAAAUUCCUUGUCGGGUAAGUUCCGACCUGCACGAAUGGAGUAACGAUUUCCCUACUGUCUCCACCAUGAACUCGGUGAAAUUGCAUUACGAGUAAAGAUGCUCGUUACGCGCAGCAGGACGGAAAGACCCCGGGACCUUUACUAUAGUUUGGUAUUGGUGAUUGGGACGACUUGUGUAGGAUAGGUGGGAGACUGUGAAACGGCCACGCCAGUGGUUGUGGAGUCAUUGUUGAAAUACCACUCUGGUCGUUCUGGUUAUCUAACUUUGGGCCGUGAUCCGGUUCAGGGACAGUGCCUGAUGGGUAGUUUGACUGGGGCGGUCGCCUCCUAAAAGGUAACGGAGGCGCCCAAAGGUUCCCUCAUCCUGGUUGGUAAUCAGGUGUUGAGUGUAAGUGCACAAGGGGGCUUGACUGUGAGACUGACAGGUCGAGCAGGGACGAAAGUCGGGACUAGUGAUCUGACGGUGGCUUGUGGACGCGCCGUCACUCAACGGAUAAAAGGUACCCCGGGGAUAACAGGCUGAUCUUGCCCGAGCGCUCAUAGCGACGGCAUGGUUUGGCACCUCGAUGUCGGCUCGUCGCAUCCUGGGGCUGGAGUCGGUCCCAAGGGUUGGGCUGUUCGCCCAUUAAAGCGGCACGCGAGCUGGGUUCAGAACGUCGUGAGACAGUUCGGUCCCUAUCCGCUGCGCGCGGAGGAAUCUUGAGAAGGGCUGUCCUUAGUACGAGAGGACCGGGACGGACUGACCUCUGGUGUGCCAGUUGUUCUGCCAAGAGCAUGGCUGGUUGGCUACGUCGGGUUGUGAUAACCGCUGAAAGCAUCUAAGCGGGAAGCACGCUUCAAGAUGAGGGUUCCUGCAGAUGAAUCUGGUAAGGUCUCCGGUAGACGACCGGGUUGAUAGGCCAGGCGUGGACGCAUCGUAAGGUGUGGAGCUGACUGGUACUAAUAGACCGAGGACUUACAAAC
Molecule: ribosomal RNA, 3145 nt
Filed under: human gut metagenome
Description: bacterial LSU rRNA
Rfam family: Bacterial large subunit ribosomal RNA
Source: RNAcentral